GCUCAAGAAACGUUAAAGGUAUUGGAGGGGCCCGCACAAGCGGAGGAGCAUGUGGUUUAAUUCGAUGAUACGCGAGGAACCUUACCUGGGCUCGAACGUAAGAUGACUGUAGGUGAAAGCUUACAUCUCUUCGGAGCAUUUUACGAGGUGCUGCAUGGUUGUCGUCAGCUCGUGCCGUGAGGUGUCGGGUUAAGUCCCAUAACGAGCGCAACCCUACCUUUAGUUGCCAUCAGGUAAUGCUGGGGACUCUAAAGGAACUGCCUACGCAAGUAGUGAGGAAGGCGGGGAUGACGUCAAAUCAGCACGGCCCUUACGUCCAGGGCUACACACGUGCUACAAUGGCCGAUACAGAGGGCAGCUACCUGGUGACAGGAUGCAAAUCUCCAAAGUCGGUCUCAGUUCGGAUCGGAGUCUGCAACCCGACUCCGUGAAGUUGGAUUCGCUAGUAAUCGCGCAUCAGCCAUGGCGCGGUGAAUACGUUCCCGGGCCUU
Molecule: ribosomal RNA, 491 nt
Filed under: uncultured Sphingobacteriales bacterium
Lineage: Bacteria; Pseudomonadati; Bacteroidota; Sphingobacteriia; Sphingobacteriales
Description: bacterial SSU rRNA
Rfam family: Bacterial small subunit ribosomal RNA
Source: RNAcentral